UUUACUUUGGUGUAAAGCACAUAAAAUUUUGAUUUUUAAGGAAACAGAUAUAAGUAAAU
RNAcentral lists this transfer RNA (59 nucleotides) under Hyalella cajasi. RNAcentral describes it as "tRNA-Gln". The record is from RNAcentral. Lineage: Eukaryota; Metazoa; Arthropoda; Malacostraca; Amphipoda; Hyalellidae.